GAUUCAGCGGCGGACGGGUGAGUAAUGCCUAGGAAUCUGCCUGGUAGUGGGGGACAACGUUUCGAAAGGAACGCUAAUACCGCAUACGUCCUACGGGAGAAAGCAGGGGACCUUCGGGCCUUGCGCUAUCAGAUGAGCCUAGGUCGGAUUAGCUAGUUGGUGGGGUAAAGGCCUACCAAGGCGACGAUCCGUAACUGGUCUGAGAGGAUGAUCAGUCACACUGGAACUGAGACACGGUCCAGACUCCUACGGGAGGCAGCAGUGGGGAAUAUUGGACAAUGGGCGAAAGCCUGAUCCAGCCAUGCCGCGUGUGUGAAGAAGGUCUUCGGAUUGUAAAGCACUUUAAGUUGGGAGGAAGGGCAGUAAGUUAAUACCUUGCUGUUUUGACGUUACCAACAGAAUAAGCACCGGCUAACUUCGUGCCAGCAGCCGCGGUAAUACGAAGGGUGCAAGCGUUAAUCGGAAUUACUGGGCGUAAAGCGCGCGUAGGUGGUUUGGU
Molecule: ribosomal RNA, 499 nt
Filed under: Pseudomonas sp. ERR563
Lineage: Bacteria; Pseudomonadati; Pseudomonadota; Gammaproteobacteria; Pseudomonadales; Pseudomonadaceae
Description: bacterial SSU rRNA
Rfam family: Bacterial small subunit ribosomal RNA
Source: RNAcentral